Phodopus roborovskii (desert hamster) is the source of this 230-nucleotide long non-coding RNA. RefSeq lists it as uncharacterized. Lineage: Eukaryota; Metazoa; Chordata; Mammalia; Rodentia; Cricetidae. The record is from RefSeq and is a predicted model, not a curated record. The transcript has 4 exons.
CUCCCCAUCUCAUCCAGCAGCCUGCAGCCUUGCCCUGUGUCCUGACAUGAAAGGAAUGACCCGCGCCUUUCUCCUGGUGCUAGCAGGUCUGCCUGCCUUGGAAGCCAGUGACCCAAUCGAUAAAGACAGUCCCUUCUAUUAUGACUGGGAGAGCCUGCAACUGGGUGGAAUGAUCUUUGGAGGGCUCCUGUGCAUCGCUGGAAUAGCCACGGCCCUGAGUAAGUACAGGG